Molecule: long non-coding RNA, 642 nt
Organism: Felis catus (domestic cat)
Lineage: Eukaryota; Metazoa; Chordata; Mammalia; Carnivora; Felidae
Exons: 2
Source: RefSeq, a predicted model, not a curated record
CCCCGGGGCCUGAGUGACUCUUGUCCCGCCAGCCAGCGGUGGGGGGGAGGGGGCAGGAUCCCUGGGCCAGGCUGCCAUCCCACGCACCCCUCCCCAGCAGCCCGGCCGAUGGAGGCGCCCAGCUGGCUUUGGUUUUCCCCAUGUUUUUCCAAUUAUGUGGGAUGGGCUAAAAACAGCAGUAGCGGGGCCUUAUUUGGGAGUUGCCACCACCGUCCGAGGGAGCCUGCUGCUCUCCUGGCUCCAGUGGCGUCCCCGCGCAUUCCUCAUCACUGGGGGCUUCUGGGCGGUGCGCGUCCCCGCUCGAGGCCCGGACGACUGGGGCAGGUAUAACUUGCCGACGGUGAAAUGCACAGAUUCCAAGCGUACAUUCUGAUUUCGAUUUGGCAGUUGUAUAUAUCUGCCCAACCACCACCCCCGGUCCGGAUCCGGAAGGUUUCCAGCACCCGGGAGAUUCCCUGGUGCCCUUUGCAGCGCCCCCCCACCCCCCCACAUGCCGCAGGGGCAGCUCUGUCCUGACUUCUAUCACCACGGAUUAGUUUUGCCUGUUUUGGGAACGUCCUAGAAAUGGAACCACACACCAUGUGGUCUUUUGUGUCUGAGCCUGAAGACUAACUUCUACAUCGAAUAAAAGAGAAGAGGGGA